Molecule: ribosomal RNA, 214 nt
Filed under: uncultured Pseudomonadales bacterium
Lineage: Bacteria; Pseudomonadati; Pseudomonadota; Gammaproteobacteria; Pseudomonadales
Description: partial 16S ribosomal RNA
Rfam family: Bacterial small subunit ribosomal RNA
Source: RNAcentral
GGAAGUACUGCACUGAUAGUGGGGGACAACGUUUCGAAAGGAACGCUAAUACCGCAUACGUCCUACGGGAGAAAGUGGGGGAUCUUCGGACCCCACGCUAUCAGAUGAGCCUAGGUCGGAUUAGCUAGUUGGUGGGGUAACGGCUCACCAAGGCGACGAUCCGUAACUGGUCUGAGAGGAUGAUCAGUCACACUGGAACUGAGACACGGUCCAG